AUUGAACGCUGGCGGCAGGCCUAACACAUGCAAGUCGAGCGAGCGGCGGACGGGUGAGUAAUGUAUGGGGACUGCCCGAUAGAGGGGGAUAACUACUGGAAACGGUGGCUAAUACCGCAUACUGUCGUAUAACCCAUAGGGGAUUAGCUAGUAGGUAAGGUAAUGGCUUACCUAGGCGACGAUCCCUAGCUGGUCUGAGAGGAUGAUCAGCCACACUGGGACGGAGACACGGCCCAGACUCCUUCGGAGGUAGCAGUGGGGAAUAUUGCACAAUGGGCGCAACCCUGCUGCAGCCAUGCCGCGUGUAUGAAGAAGGCCCUAGGGUUGUAAAGUACUUUCAGUCGGGUGGCGUUACCGACAGAAGAAGCACCGGCUAACUCCGUGCCAGCAGCCGCGGUAAUAC
Molecule: ribosomal RNA, 403 nt
Filed under: uncultured bacterium
Lineage: Bacteria
Description: partial 16S ribosomal RNA
Rfam family: Bacterial small subunit ribosomal RNA
Source: RNAcentral